CACGCAGCAGUCGUUCGAGGCGCUCAACCCGCGCGCGGUGGCUGUGGUCGUCGACCCUAUUCAGAGCGUCAAGGGAAAGGUGGUCAUUGACGCGUUCCGCCUAAUCAACCCGCAGACUAUGAUGCUAGGGCA
RNAcentral lists this non-coding RNA (132 nucleotides) under Pycnococcus provasolii. The record is from RNAcentral. Lineage: Eukaryota; Viridiplantae; Chlorophyta; Pseudoscourfieldiophyceae; Pseudoscourfieldiales; Pycnococcaceae.